UACUGCACAUUCACGAGGAUU
RNAcentral lists this non-coding RNA (21 nucleotides) under Caenorhabditis elegans. The record is from RNAcentral. Lineage: Eukaryota; Metazoa; Nematoda; Chromadorea; Rhabditida; Rhabditidae.